Non-coding RNA from Pelobates cultripes (western spadefoot toad), 274 nucleotides. The record is from the annotation of a GenBank genome assembly. NCBI's taxonomy places the organism in Eukaryota, Metazoa, Chordata, Amphibia, Anura, Pelobatidae.
CUUUAGUCAAGUAGUUUGACAAACCACACAGGAUUACCUAAAACUUAUUAAGAGAGAGAAAACAUCCUCAUUCUCUGUCUAGCCCAUGUUUAUUUAAAAGAGGGUGGUCGUCUGAGAGUGUCAUUGCCAUUGAAGUCCUUCUUUAUUUCCAUUGUUGUAAGAAUGAUUAAGCUCGGUAAUUAUGUAAAUUUGCAUCUAUUGUUUUAGUUGUGGCACUAUAAAUUGAAUGUUGGGUUGUUGGAGACUAGUCUUUGUUUUCAAUAAAGAAUCUUGG